Molecule: RNA transcript, 1860 nt
Organism: Salmo salar (Atlantic salmon)
Lineage: Eukaryota; Metazoa; Chordata; Actinopteri; Salmoniformes; Salmonidae
Gene name: nucleotide sugar transporter SLC35D2
Source: RefSeq, a predicted model, not a curated record
GCCUGUUUGAACGGUCCCAGCCCACUCUAAUUAACGUCCUCCCCUUUUAUCAAAUGAUCGCGACAAAGCCUAAGUGAAAGCAACCGAGAUCGUUAUAUAUUUUUUGCGAUAACAACUAUUCUUGAACUAAUGUCUGCCAUGUCUACCUCAGCUAAUUUACCAGAACCCGAACAUUCCGGACUGUUCAAGUUUUUAUCUGCUGCGUUCUACGCUGUCAGUUCUUUUUUGAUCAUUGUUGUGAACAAAACGAUUCUCACAAACUACAGAUUUCCCUCCUACAUGUUUCUAGGAAUUGGCCAGAUGACUACUACAAUCCUCAUUCUCUAUUUUGCUAAAAUGAACCAAACAGUUCACUUCCAAGACUUUGACAGAAGCAUUCUCGUCAAAAUCUUCCCCCUACCUUUGCUGUAUGUUGGAAACCACAUAACAGGAUUGGCUAGUACAAAGAAGUUAAGCUUACCCAUGUUCACAGUGUUAAGGAAGUUCACCAUAUUGAUGACAAUGAUCAUGGAAGCAAGGCUAUUGAGAAAAACAUUCCCCAAUCAUCUUAUCUACAGUGUUCUGGCCAUCGUUUUUGGAGCCUUGGUGGCUGCCAGCUCUGACUUGGCCUUUGAUGCAGAGGGCUACACAUUCAUUCUGCUUAAUGAUGUCUUCACUGCUGCCAGUGGUGUGUACACCAAGAAGAAGCUGGGAACUGAGGGUCUUGGAAAAUAUGGGAUCUUAUUUUACAAUGCAUUCAUCAUCGUCAUCCCAGCUCUUCUGGCAAGUGCAUUCACUGGGGAUUUACACAAGGCCAUCACAUUUGAACACUGGUUGAAUGCCCCCUUUGUUUCCUGCUUCCUUAUUUCCUGCCUCAUGGGGUUUGUGCUGAUGUAUUCCAUAGUGCUGUGUAGCCACUACAACUCUGCACUGACCACCACGGUGGUGGGAGCAAUUAAGAACGUUGCUGUGGCCUACAUCGGCAUGUUUUUAGGUGGAGACUACCUGUUUUCAUGGACAAACUUCCUGGGGUUAAAUAUUUGUAUAUCAGGGGGACUUGUGUAUUCCUACCUGACGUUCCACAGCAGCAGCAAACCAUCCCAAAGCGAUGAAAGCGGAAUACAGGGAAACCAGGAUCAGCUGAUCAUUCCCGUGAUGGAAGAUUCCAUAGACAGACUCCCUGUGAAAUAAGUGAAUAAACCUGUGAUGAACCAGGCAAACUUCUAUCCCAAGCAUACUGCGUAGGGAGGCAGAAGGGGAUUGACUAGGGAAGGUUUCAGGACUCCCCACCCACUGGGAUGUGGGCGGGGAUUUAGGCAGACAGGUUAUUAGCCAGCUCAAUGAGCGCCAGGGCGCCAUGAAGACGCUCCCGUUGCUCUUGGAGACACCGUCUGGCAGCCCCGCCCCCGUUGCCCUUCUCUUCCUCCAUUGGAUCCUCCUCGUCUUCCUCGUCUGAUAGGAGAAACUCCCGGGGGUCCUGCUGCUCCUGGUCCUCCACACCACCCUUGCCCUGGGUUUUCCCCUUGGUGGGCGCAGGGGCACGCUGCUCACGGGUCUGCCAGUACCUGCCACAACACAGAGACAAGGGGGGAUAUGGGACUUCUCUCUGGGGAACACACGAUUGCAGAUGUUGCAGCGGAUGCGACUGGAGGAGCUCUCCCCCUCGUUGAUCAACUCACGGACAGUGUCAGCACGCGGGCGGCCACGCCGAAUACCGUCCUGGAAACAAAGAGGAAACAAAGUUAACUACAGUUUAAAUGAAUAAAUGCAUCUUUCUUUACUUUCUGAAUACUUAAUGUAGGCUUAGAACAUCAUACUUCCAGUUUGGAAUGCAGCAUUAUUCCAGUAACAAUGUUUGUUUUAAUAAAACAGUAACUAGUU